CCUUUUUUAAAAAAGGUAAUAUUUUUGGAAAAACCUAUGCUCUUUGACGGCCACUUUCCUAAUUAAAGGAACUUGUUAUCCAUCGAAAAUACCCGUUUAUUUUCACUUUUUUGAUGUUUUUAUACCGCCGUCUUAAGAAUUUAUUCUAAUAUUCUUUCUAAAUAAUGUCUAUUAAAAAGUCAGGUCAAGGUGAAGCUUAAUUAAGGUUAUAAUAAGUUAUAUAUUAAACAUAUUAAUAGAAAUUUUAUUAAAAUCUAUCUGAAUUAAGAUUUAACAGUAUUAAUUUAAUAAUAAUUUAUUAAGAAUUAGUAAAAUGUGGUGA
This 322-nucleotide ribosomal RNA is filed under the name Stanwellia sp. MYG418. RNAcentral's name for it is "partial 12S ribosomal RNA". Lineage: Eukaryota; Metazoa; Arthropoda; Arachnida; Araneae; Nemesiidae. The record is from RNAcentral.